CCCCAGUAGUGGCGAGCGAACGGGGAAGAGCCCAAACCCGCCCUGUUACGGCAGGACGGGGGUUGUAGGACUGCGGCAUCGCAUGAACGAUGGCGAGCGGAACGCUCUGGAAAGGGCGACCAUAGACGGUGAUAGUCCGGUACGCGAAGCCAUAGGAAGCGUAGCAGUAUCCUGAGUAACGCGGGACACGUGAAAUCCUGCGCGAAUCAGCCGGGACCAUCCGGCAAGG
This 229-nucleotide ribosomal RNA is filed under the name Bacteroides caecicola. Its description in RNAcentral is "partial 23S ribosomal RNA". It matches the Rfam family "Bacterial large subunit ribosomal RNA", at positions 238 to 465 of the family's 2925-position model. Lineage: Bacteria; Pseudomonadati; Bacteroidota; Bacteroidia; Bacteroidales; Bacteroidaceae. The record is from RNAcentral.